UGGGGAAUAUUGCACAAUGGGCGCAAGCCUGAUGCAGCGACGCCGCGUGAGGGAUGACGGCCUUCGGGUUGUAAACCUCUUUCGCCAGGGACGAAGCCGUAAGGUGACGGUACCUGGAUAAGAAGCACCGGCUAACUACGUGCCAGCAGCCGCGGUAAUACGUAGGGUGCGAGCGUUGUCCGGAAUUAUUGGGCGUAAAGAGCUCGUAGGCGGUUUGUCGCGUCGUUCGUGAAAACUCCACGCUUAACGUGGAGCGUGCGGGCGAUACGGGCAGACUUGAGUUCGGUAGGGGAGACUGGAAUUCCUGGUGUAGCGGUGAAAUGCGCAGAUAUCAGGAGGAACACCGGUGGCGAAGGCGGGUCUCUGGGCCGAUACUGACGCUGAGGAGCGAAAGCGUGGGGAGCGAACAGG
RNAcentral lists this ribosomal RNA (411 nucleotides) under uncultured bacterium. RNAcentral describes it as "bacterial SSU rRNA". It matches the Rfam family "Bacterial small subunit ribosomal RNA", at positions 355 to 776 of the family's 1533-position model. The record is from RNAcentral.